RNAcentral lists this ribosomal RNA (460 nucleotides) under uncultured Methylomirabilota bacterium. RNAcentral describes it as "bacterial SSU rRNA". It matches the Rfam family "Bacterial small subunit ribosomal RNA", at positions 977 to 1434 of the family's 1533-position model. Lineage: Bacteria; Methylomirabilota (SeqCode). The record is from RNAcentral.
GGGCUUGACAUCCCACGAAUCUUGCUGAAAGGCAGGAGUGCCCGCAAGGGAGCGCGGAGACAGGUGGUGCAUGGCUGUCGUCAGCUCGUGUCGUGAGAUGUUGGGUUAAGUCCCGCAACGAGCGCAACCCUCACCUCUUGUUGCCACCAGGUCAUGCUGGGCACUCUAGAGGAACUGCCCCGGUCAACGGGGAGGAAGGCGGGGAUGACGUCAAGUCAUCAUGCCCCUUACGUCCUGGGCUACACACGUGCUACAAUGGCCGGUACAAAGGGAUGCCACACCGCGAGGUAGAGCUAAACCCAAAAAGCCGGUCUAAGUUCAGAUUGGAGUCUGCAACUCGACUCCAUGAAGGAGGAAUCGCUAGUAAUCGCGUAUCAGCACGACGCGGUGAAUACGUUCCCGGGCCUUGUACACACCGCCCGUCACACCACGAAAGCCAGUUGUACUCGAAGUCGCUGAG